CCUACGGGUGGCAGCAGUGAGGAAUAUUGGUCAAUGGCCGAAAGCCUGAACCAGCCAAGUCGCGUGAGGGAUGAAGGAUCUAUGGUUUGUACACUUCUUUUAUAUGGGAGUAAAGUGAGGCACGUGUUCCUUUUUGUGUGUACCAUAUGAAUAAGCAUCGGCUAACUCCGUGCCAGCAGCCGCGGUAAUACGGAGGAUGCGAGCGUUAUCCGGAUUUAUUGGGUUUAAAGGGUGCGUAGGUGGGUAAUUAAGUCAGCGGUGAAAGUUUGUGGCUCAACCAUAUAAGUGCCGUUGAAACUGGUUGUCUUGAGUAUACGUGACGUAUGCGGAAUGCGUGGUGUAGCGGUGAAAUGCAUAGAUAUCACGCAGAACUCCGAUUGCGAAGGCAGCUUACCAACCUAUAACUGACACUGAAGCACGAAAGCGUGGGUAUCAAACAGGAUUAGAUACCCGUGUAGUC
Molecule: ribosomal RNA, 460 nt
Filed under: uncultured bacterium
Lineage: Bacteria
Description: partial 16S ribosomal RNA
Rfam family: Bacterial small subunit ribosomal RNA
Source: RNAcentral